GUUAAGAUGUGUUGUGAUUUACUUUCCUUUUGUUUUCUACCAGGCUUUCUACAUCUGUACACAACACCCAUGUAUCAUCAACUUACCUUCACCUUUCAAGAAUAUAAACAUAGCAAAGAGAAGAAAGGAAUUAGAUGAAACGGACUACAAAUGCAGAAGCCAGGAGCUGAACUGCUUUGUUCUACCAAAUGCUCCCCAGCCUCCCCAGGUCUGCAAAACAAAUAAACCAUGAUAUAUGGACUGAAACCUCUGAAAUAAUGAG
Molecule: non-coding RNA, 262 nt
Organism: Castor canadensis (American beaver)
Lineage: Eukaryota; Metazoa; Chordata; Mammalia; Rodentia; Castoridae
Source: RefSeq, a predicted model, not a curated record